RNAcentral lists this ribosomal RNA (257 nucleotides) under uncultured bacterium. RNAcentral's name for it is "partial 16S ribosomal RNA". It matches the Rfam family "Bacterial small subunit ribosomal RNA", at positions 524 to 776 of the family's 1533-position model. The record is from RNAcentral.
UACGGAGGGGGCGAGCGUUUAUUCGGAAUUAUUGGGCGUAAAGGGCGCGUAGGCGGCUGAACAAGUCAAAGGUGAAAUCCCUCGGCUCAACUGAGGAACUGCCUUUGAAAACUGUUCGGCUUGAGGCCGGGAGGGGGGUAGCGGAAUUCCCAGUGUAGCGGUGAAAUGCGUAGAUAUUGGGAGGAACACCAGUGGCGAAGGCGGCUACCUGGACCGGUUCUGACGCUGAGGCGCGAAAAGCGUGGGUAGCAAACAGG